AGCAGUCGCCACGGUAAUACAGAGGAUGCAAGCGUUAUCCGGAAUGAUUGGGCGUAAAGCGUCUGUAGGUGGCUUUUCAAGUCCGCCGUCAAAUCCCAGGGCUCAACCCUGGACAGGCGGUGGAAACUACCAAGCUGGAGUACGGUAGGGGCAGAGGGAAUUUCCAGUGGAGCGGUGAAAUGCGUUGAGAUCGAAAAGAACACCAACAGCGAAAGCACUCUGCUGGGACGACACUGACACUAAGAGACGAAAGCUAGGGGAGCAAAUGGGAUUAGAGACCCCUGUAGUCCCUGUCUCUUAUAC
This 303-nucleotide ribosomal RNA is filed under the name uncultured bacterium. RNAcentral's name for it is "partial 16S ribosomal RNA". It matches the Rfam family "Bacterial small subunit ribosomal RNA", at positions 507 to 807 of the family's 1533-position model. The record is from RNAcentral.